This 16490-nucleotide long non-coding RNA is filed under the name Triticum aestivum (bread wheat). Its description in RNAcentral is "long non-coding RNA (TAES_LNC002984)". The record is from RNAcentral. Lineage: Eukaryota; Viridiplantae; Streptophyta; Magnoliopsida; Poales; Poaceae.
ACUACUACUACAUGGAGGCCGCCGAAGACCAGGAGUAGUUAGGAGGUCCCAGGCAGGAGGCCUUGCCUCUUUGAUCGUGUUGCUUUUGUGCUAGCCUUUUUAAGGCAUCCUUGUUUAACUUAUGUCUGUAGUCAGAUAUUGUUGCUUCCGCUGACUCUUGUGUAUCGAGCUUUUGUAUUCGAGCCCUCUGGCUUGUAAUAUAAAGCUUGUAUCCCUUUUAUUUGUGUUUAGAGUUGUGUUGUGAUAUCUUCCCGUGAGUCCUUGAUCUUGAUCGUACACAUUUGCGUGUAUGAUUAGUGUACGAUUGAAUCAGGGGCGUCACAAGUUGGUAUCAGAGCUGACUGCUUGUAGGAUCCCCCUUUCCAACUCCUUUGCCGAAGUUGAGUCUAGUCUUCAAAAACUGUUUUACUAACAUGGUUGUGUGGCUUACGGGCCCACGUUGCCAAUUGGGUGGUAUUAGGAUCUUUUAUUCCUUGUCUAUACUCUAGGAAUCUGAUCUCUCUUCUAUUCGGGUUAAAUGGUUUUGCAAACUAUAACUCUAGGUUCUCGUAAAUACUUCUCCCGGAGAGCCCCUUCAUUUCAGAUGAUGGCCCGCUUCACCAGAAGAUUCUGAAGAUACUCUCCGAUGUUUUCCUCGAGACCCUUGUACCCUUAGCCGUUGCGAUCCCUACCACCGAUAAAUCCUUAUGAGUAACUACCUACAUUGUCGUUCAUACCUUCAUCCCCAGUUGCUCUUGUUAUUACAAGAUGCCCUGAAAAACUAUUUGAUCUUCCGAAAAUGCUCAAUAGGCUAUUACUCUUGUUCCUCCUUAUCUGCUUGCAUUAUGGUUACUUCCAUAUGUCUAACAAUACUCAUUAGCAUCCUUUGUCAUCGUAAUUUCGAGCAUUUUAUUCGAUAAGUUUGUGAAUGCUCGCGAUCAUCAGUUCUAGUUAGAAUUCUUCCCUUGGCUCAGACGUCACUCUGAACAUGAGCUGGUGUUCGACAAAUCAAACCUUGUUUGAUUGUCGAUCUAUGUCUAUCGAACUUACUUGUCUUUGAUCAUAGCUUAUACUUCUGAUUCCCUAAUUUGGAAACCAUAAUUCCUUUGCAUUUGAGCUAUGAAUUUGUCAGUUGUUUCUAUAACCUGACCUCCUUGCAUUCUUUCUUCUUCUGGUUGAGUACCGAUACUCACAUUAGAUCCAUUGUGGACCUCCAGGUCCUUUUUUGGGUUAUAUUCGAUAGCGUCCUUCUUUUUCAGUAACUUUGUGAGCUGUUCCUUGGAUACAUAAUGCCUUUGGUAAAUUGUAUCCCCUGCUUUUGUCAACCAUGCUCUGCUUUUGAGCUUGAGUUACUUAUUCCUAAAGUUGUGGUAUAUGUUCCUAAGAUGUCCCUAUGGGUUGAACCUACGCCUUCCCUAAUUUGUGUGAACCCGAAGAUUAUGCGAGGUAUAUCUACUGGCAUUUCUUCGGAUAAAUUUUCAAUUCUACAACUUCGUCGAAAACGAGAAGUAAUUGGAAAGUUGUACAUUAGAGAAGUGGGAGUCGACCUUGAACCUUUGAGUACAUGCCCAUGGACCCGAUGUGGAACUUAUCAUGAAAGCUUCUUGUUAUAAUGAUAAUCCCCUUGUGAUAAGUUCAUCUUGUAUCUUUAUUUGGUCCUUUGCAACCGUGGUUUCGACCAUAUUGUUCUUAUUUGAUCCCAUUUCUCAAACAAGUUAAAGUACUUGUCUUCUUCAGAUCAUUUCACUUGUCCAACCUCUACUUUGAUCUACCACCGAGUAUUACCCUAUGGUAUCUCGAGAAUAUCACAGAACUACAUAACUUGUUAUGAUUUCUUCAUCAACUAUUAUUUCUCGCCGAUUCCAAUUUUUCCACGGGAUCUGGGUUGUUAGACACUCGAGAAUACCGAUAACUGAUUCGAGUCUACGCUUUCCUUUCCAUUGUUUUGGUUUAAUCUUUCUUGUAACCUAACAUAUCCGAGCAGUGAUAAUUCCCUGCUUAUGUAAACACCUCGGUGUACAUUCUGUGUCAGUAAGACCUUGUUACUAUCAUUGAUGACAUCUGGUAGCCGCCGAUGGACGAGAACUUUGCCUAUUGGUCCGCCUCGUCUUAACGAGCAGGAAAAUGGUUCUCUUCGUCCCUCGCCCUUGGUACCAAUGUGUUGCCAACAUAACUGACAGGCUAUCCUCUGACCUACCUUGCUAUCAUGACCGUGCAUACGUUAGCGCCCUUCCUACCUUUAACCCACAUGGUGGGCCCAUAACCCACAGUUCCACAAGAUCGAAACCUGACUCUCCUGUAAAUCUCUGUCUUCCAAAAUUGUUCCUCACACUUGGCCUUGUAUGUAAUUCAUGAGCCACCUUCUUGUGAUCUGUUCUGCUAUCAGAUGCAAUACUUAUUUUCGAUGCACUGAACCCCUUUCACACUCUGUUUCAGACAUCGAACGAUUGUCCAUUCGCUUGAAGCUUCUUAUUGCUCCUCCUUACCUUGCUCUCGAUGACUUUCUUGAAAUUCAACUCGAGAGAUGCCUCUAUGCCACGUCGCGAGAUAUCCCCCAGGUACCUAUCUUGUGUUGAGCCCCAUCCUUUUCGAGUCUUCCCCCCUACUACACCCCUUAAAUCUUGGGACGAGAUUUCUUGUAGUGGAGGAGAAUUGUAACGCCCGGAAAAUUAUGCUACAGUAAACCCCUGUUAAUGGUGCCAUGUCAUCAUGUUACUGUUACUAAUCUUCGCUUGAUCCAAACCACAAUUCAAAUUCAAAUUAAAGUCCAAAAAUCAAAUUUCUCAAACAUGCAAAUUAAAAUGUUCAAAGUGUGGCAAAUAUUCCAUAACCAAUUAUGGUGCUGACCCAACAUUUUUUAAAGGUAUUUAAAUGCUCUUUGGUGAAUAAAAUAGUGACUAAAACAAUUAUUAAAUGCCUUUAAAUAAUAACCAAAUAUAAAACUAUUUUAUUAUUGUGCCAAAUUAAUUAUGGCAAUAGCCUAAGUGGUAAUACUAAUUUUGGGGCUAGGUUUAUAUUUUACAAAACUAAAAAUAAAUACAUGAAAGGAAACUUAAUUGAAAAAAAGGAGAAGCCCCCCCACUGUUCCCCCUGGGCCUUGGCCCAACUGGCGAUUGGCCAGCCCACCAGUGUCGUUUCUCUCAUCUCUGUUCACGGGGGCUCGUGGCUAGCACCGAUGGCCGCCAUGGCCAUGGCAGACGCCGUGGCGCCCGUCCACCGGUGCUGCCCCCCUACUUAAGCUGGCGCCUCUCCCUCAAACCGAACCCUAACGAGCCUCUCUCCAAACUCACCCUCCCCGCGCCUCUCCUCUCCCCUCCUCAGAUCCACCGCGAUGCGCUCGCCCGAGUGGGUUCGUCGUUGUUGCCUCGCCGUGCGUGUGGCCACCGGCCAUUGUUGGUCGUUCUGUGAUGUCUAGAAGCACGCAACCUUCGUCUUCAUCUUCCUCGGCAUCGGAUAGAAUCCUAGGAGCACCGCCAACACCGUCUUCUUAUUCCCCCUUUGUCCGCUUCGACCACCGGCCCUCUUCGUCGACUCUGGCCGCCCUCUGCGCUUCUAAGCCCUCAACGGGCCUCCAUGUGCCUCCACAGUGAGCGCACCGUCCAGCCCCUCUCCCCUCUUACCUCCUCCUAAGCCGUAGCCCACCUCGCCGUCGCUGCUGGCCCUGGCCACAGUCGCCGCGGCCGCGUCCAUCGACGCGUUCGCCCACAACCCCCUGCUACACCCGGGCCGCGUCGUGGCAGCUCCAGCCGCCCGCCCGCGCCGCUGUCCCGCUGCGCCCUGGUCGACCUGCUUCUACUGCCGGCCCCUGACGCAUGCAGCUGGCGCUGGGCGUCGUCAUCGUGGACGCCCUCGACGUCGCCACCGUAGCCAUAAUCCCCGUAGCUCGCGUACGAACCCCACAGCGAACUCCUCAUGCUCCCAGGAGUCAAAUGCACGCACACACGCGCCUCCCUAAGCCCCAUGGCCACGGAUCCAUUGAUGCCCGAACACCAACGCCACCAUCGUGGAUGUCCUGCUCAACUCCGGCCGCCCCCGCUCGUUCCAGCGGGCUGCCCUGUCCCGCUCACUACUGCUGCUGCUGCCCGCCUCCGCCGGCGGCCCGCGCUGCUUCCUCCCGACUAGUUGCUGCCAUCGCUGCGUUCCAUCACAGCUAUCGCGCCACUGCUCCCCGAUGGCCGCAUGCCCUGCUCACCCCCUUGCCGCUCCUCUUGCCGAAGGCCUCACCACGCCCCUGCUUUGCCUUGCGGCAACCUGCACCCGCUGCUGUCGCCGCCUGCUGCUGCUUGCUACCACGGCUCUACGGAUGCAUCCUACUACUGGUCGCUGACGCUGAUGCUAGCUAUUGCCGCUGCUGUAGGACCUUGAGAAGAGGUGUCUAGAGGGGGGGUGAUUAGACACUAAGUACCAAAGUUGCAGUUUUUAAGUUUCUUUAAAGUUUGAGUGGAGUUUAGGCACAAGUUUAACAUUCACAACAUAUAGCAAGCAAGCAUGCAAAGAGUAUAUGAACAUCGGAAAAUAAAGCAUGCAACUUGCAAGAAUGUAAAGGGAAGGGAUUGGAGGAUUCAAACGCAAUUGGAGACACGGAUGUUUUUGGCGUGGUUCCGAUAGGUGGUGCUAUCGUACAUCCACGUUGAUGGAGACUUCAACCCACGAAGGGUAACGGUUGCGCGAGUCCACGGAGGGCUCCACCCACGAAGGGUCCACGAAGAAGCAACCUUGUCUAUCCCACCAUGGCCGUCGCCCAUGAAGGACUUGCCUCACUAGCGGUAGAUCUUCACGAAGUAGGCGAUCUCCUUGCCCUUACAAACUCCUUGGUUCAACUCCACAAUCUUGUCAGAGGCUCCCAAGUGACACCUAGCCAAUCUAGGAGACACCACUCUCCAAAAAGUAACAAAUGGUGCAUUGAUGAUGAACUCCUUGCUCUUGUGCUUCAAAUGAUAGUCUCCCCAACACUCAACUCUCUCUCAUAGGAUUUGGAUCUGGUGGAAAGAGGGUCUGAGUGGAAAGCAACUUGGGGAAGGCUAGAGAUCAAGAUUCAUAUGGUAGGAAUGGAAUAUCUUGGCCUCAACACAUGAGUAGGUAGUUCUCUCUCAGAAAUAGGAUGCUGGAAGUGUAGGUUCAGUCUGAUGGCUCUCUCCACGAAUGAAGAGGAGGUGGAGGGGUAUAUAUAGCCUCCACACAAAAUCUAACCGUUACACACAAUCUACCAAACUCGGUGGGACCGAAUCGUUAAACUCGGUCAGACCGAUUUAGCAAAUAAUGUGACCGUUAGGGUUUUCGGUGGGACUGGAAUGCAACUCGGUGGGACCGAUUCGGUUAGGGUUAGGGCAUAACGUAAUCUCGGUAAGACCGAUUACACAAACUCGGUGGGACCGAUUUUGGUAAUAAGCUUUCCAGAGAGUUGGUCAGGCAAACUCGGUUUGACCGAUUAUCAAACUCGGCGGGACCGAUUUUGAUAAUAAGUUAACCAGAUAGUUUGCAUUGUAAUCUCGGUAGUACCAAUUGCUCAAACUCGGUGAGACCGAUUUUGAUAAUGGACAUACACAGAGAGAUUACAAUCCCAUCUUGGUGAGACCGAGAUCCCUAUCGGUGAGACCGAUUUGCCUAGGGUUUGUGGUAGUGGCUAAGACAUCCAAACUCGGUGGCGCCGGAUGGAAAGAAUCAGUGGGGCCGAGUUUGACUUUAGGUUUAGGACAUAUGUGUGGAAGUGGGAAAGUAGUUGAGGGUAUUUGGAGCAUAUCACUAAGCACUUUGAAGCAAGAGGCUCAUUAAGCAACACCUCAUUCCUCCUUGAUAGUAUUGGCUUUUCCUAUAGACUCAAUGUGAUCUUGGAUCACUAAAAUGUAAAAUGAAGAGUCUUGAGCUUGAAGCUUGAGCCAAUCCUUUGUCCUUAGCAUCUUGAAGGAGUUCCCACAUCCUUUAGUCCAUGCCACUCCAUUGUUGAACUUAUCUGAAACAUACUAGAUAAAAGUGUUAGUCCAACAAGAGAUAUGUUGUCAUUAAUUACCAAAACCACCUAGGGAGCAAUUGUGCUUUCAAUCUCCCCUUUUUGGUAAUUGAUGGCAACAUACAUCAAAGCUUUAGAUAAAGAUAUAAAGAAUAGCAAGUAAAGCUUUGGAAAGACAUGUAACAAGCAUAGGCUCCCCCUACAUGUAUGCAAUCAUGUGAAUAUGAAAUAUAGAAGCAUGUGAUAGCAUAACCAUGAUAGAGCAGGCAAUGUGUUACAUGUAUCUUGGCUAUAUGCAUCAGAGCAAAAAGUAUUAAAGAGAAUACCUUCAUGCCCAUGAGUCCUUCUUGCAAACAAUAUGUACAUCAGCAAGAAUUCCUCAUACACAUGAUUGUGAUGCAUAUACUUACCUUGUGGUCUUGAGUUGGCUUAGGAUGGAAUGAACCUGUGAAAACAAGGUUAGAUAACACAGAUGCAUCUACUAGCCAAAGAAAACAGAAGAAACCACAAGAAUACCAAGACUGAGAUGACAUGUAGAGAGUGAGUACUGAGUACCACAUUGGAUUAGACAUGUCCCCAAGAGUAAAGAUAUGCAAUGAAUUUAAAUGAUCUCUUUCCCUUAGAUGUCUUGCUCCCCCUGAAUCUAACAUGGGAUACUGGGAGAAGAUAGGGAACAGAAAAUCAGAGCUGAAGGAAAACAAAGCUGAAAGAUAUGAAUGAUGAUCAGAGGUAAAGUUCAGAGCUAAUGUAUGCUAAUGCAAAAUGAGCACAACAGAUCAUAUGAACAUGUCUCUCCCCUCAAGAAGACAUGUGGACAUCUCUCCUCUUGAACACCAAGCAUCUGGGAUCCUUGAGAAAUACUUAAGUAUCCUCUCCCCCUGGAGAUCUCUCUCGUCUUUUGAGGGUCUCUCCCCUAGAAGGUCUCUCUCUCCCUUAAGAGGAAAGGUGAUAAGUUUUGAUGCUCUCUCUCUAUCUCCAAAUGAUAAGCUUUGAUGUUCUUUCUCUCUCCCCUUUGACAUCAAUUUCCAAGAAGGGUCUUCUGGAGUCUGUCGAAUGGGUUUGGUCCUUGAGACACAGAACAAAGCAAUGAUGAAAAUGUGAUGCUUGUAGAGGACAAGAUUCAUUGAGUGGAGCUGGAUCAGAAGAAACACAAAAUAUGUGGCAAAGAGUUUUUCCUGUUAUGAAAUCGGUGGCACCGAGUGGUAUGCUUCGGUCGUACCAAAAAGAUUUGGUUGGACCGAAAAUAACAAAUCGGUGUAACCGAGUUCAUCGCAGAGAAAACACUUGUCACCUCAACUCAUUAGACUAGUAAGAUCUCACAAAGAUUUGCAAGGAAUUAACUGAAAGAUAUGCAAGGAAUUAGAUGCAGAAAAUGCAGAGAAAACAGAAAGAAAUCUAGAUGAAGUUUUUUUUUGAAAGGGGAAACACAUAUGCAUGAGACAAAUGCAAAAACUCAGAAAAGAACAUAGGAGAACUUCAUCUAGAGAUGGUCGGUGACAAAGUCACCUAUGUUAGAGUAUAUUGACUUAGGAGUCAAGUGAGAUCACUUGAUCAUAGGCCAUACUCAUCGUUUAAGCUCAAAAUGGGGUUGCCAUUUUUCGUUUAAGCAUCUUGAUGUAUUCACAUCUUGUCGAGUUGCUUUAACUCAUGACUCGGAGUAAAGCUUCUCUAAUAUGGAAUAACAUACCUUGGUUGGUGGUGUUGUCCAUGUAGUUGAACUUGCGUGGGUUGCUCAAGGUUGAUGUAGCUCAUCAAGAAUUUGGAGCACCACUUGGAAUUUGAGUCCAUAUACCUACAUGGGUUAGUUCUUGCAAGGAAGAGCACUUGUAUAUCCAAAAAUGACAAUCAUGAAACUCAACAUAGAAUUUGUCAAAGGAUAUGUUUGAAUGGUUUCGUGCUUCCUUGUCUUCAACCACCUUGUGUAGAGACUUGGUGAUGUAGAGAUUGCUCAAGAUAUGAGUAGGUUUCAACCUCAUGGAAUUUGAUCCAACCAAGUACCUACAUGGGUUAGAUAACAUGCAAGAUACAAAUAUGUCCAAGACAUAAGUUUUUCAUCAUAAGAGAAAUAUCAAGGAUUAGUCAUAAGCUCAUGUCUUGCAUGUAUCCAAUGGAGUUUCUACUCCAAGUUUGAAGCAUCAAUGAUGUUCAAUUCUCCUCCUAACCUGCAAAACACUUUCUCAUCAAGAGGUUUAGUGAAUAUAUCCGCUAAUUGCUUUUCGGUGCGAACAUGCUUAAGAUCAAUGUCACCCUUAGCAACAUGAUCUCGAAUGAAAUGAGGACGAACUUCAAUAUGCUUAGUUCGAGAAUGUUGCACAGGAUUAUGACCAAUUUUGAUAGCACUUUCAUUAUCACAAAGCAAUGGAACAUGUCUCACAUAUAUCCCAUAAUCUUUAAGAGUUUGGGUCAUCCAAAGUAAUUGAGCACAACAUGAUCCAGCGGCAAUAUAUUCAGCUUCGGCGGUGGAUAAGGAUACCGAGUUUUGUUUCUUGGAGGACCAAGACACAAGAGAUCUACCAAGAAAUUGACAAGUACCCGAAGUGGACUUUCUAUCAACCUUGUCUCCGGCAUAGUCCGAGUCGGAAUAGCCAACAAGAUCGAAAGAGGCCCUCUUAGGAUACCAAAUGCCAAAAUUUGGUGUAUGGAUUAAGUAUCUCACUAUCCUUUUCACGACCUUAAGAUGACAUUCUUUAGGGGCAGCUUGCUAUCAUGCACACAUGCACACACUUAGCAUAAUAUCGGGACGUGAAGCACAUAGAUAUAACAAUGAACCAAUCAUAGAGCGAUAAACCUUUUGAUCAACUGGUUCACCAUCUUUGGUUAAGUCAAGAUGUCCACUAGUAGGCAUGGGUGUAGUCAUACCUUUGCAUUCUUGCAUAUUGAACUUCUUGACUAAGUCCUUGGUGUACUUUGUUUGCGAGACAAAAGUACCUUCCUUAGUGUGCUUGAUUUGCAAACCAAGAAAGAAUUUGAGUUCACUCAUCAUAGACAUCUCAAACUUCUCCGACAUUAGCUUCCCAAACUUUUCACUAAAAUGAGGGUUAGUUGAACCAAAUAUAAUAUCAUCAACAUAAAUUUGGCACACAAAGAUUUCACCAUUAACCCUUUUAGUAAAAAGAGUAGAAUCAAUUUUCCCAAUUUCAAAGCCUUUUUCAAUAAGGAACUUGGUCAAGCAUUUAUACCAUGCUCUAGGAGCUUGUUUAAGUCCAUAAAGAGUUUUGUGAAGUUUGUAAACAUGAUUGGGUUUCUUAGGAUUGACAAAGCCGGGAGGUUGUUUAACAUAAACUUCCUCCUCUAUUUCACCAUUUAGAAAAGCACUUUUAAUGUCCAUUUGGUACAAGGUGAUAUCAUGGUGAUUAGCAUAGGCAAGUAAGAUGCGAAUGGACUCAAGUCUAGCAACGGGGGCGUAAGUCUCACCAUAGUCCAUACCUUCGACUUGUGUGUAGCCUUGGGCGACGAGACGUGCUUUGUUGCGAACUACUUGUCCAUCUUCAUCUUGCUUGUUGCGAAACACCCAUUUGGUACCGAUGAUGUUGUGGUUGUUGUCGGGCUUCUCAACCAAUGUCCAAACUUGGUUCCUCUCAAAGUUGUGUAGCUCUUCAUGCAUAGAAUUUAUCCAAUCCGGAUCUUCCAAUGCUUCUUCAACCUUCAUAGGUUCAAUGCUAGAGAUGAAAGAAUAGUUUUCACAAAAGUUAGCUAAACGAGUUUUAGAGCGAGUGAUUCUCCCAGUUUGAAUAUCAUUGUAGAUUUGCUCUACGGGAUGGUCUUUAGCAAUUCUUGCUCGAACUCGUGAAAGCUUUUGCUUGGGUCUUCGUUGAACAUCUUCUUCAUCAUGUUCUUCUUCUUGGCCUUCUUCAUUGUUGGCGUUGUCGUUCUCUUGUCGUGGUGGAGAAGGAGGUUGUUGACGUUCAUCUUGAUGCACUUCCUCGUUUUCUUCAUCUUGGUGUGUCCCACUAGUGGAUGAUUCCGUAUCAACUCUUGGUUCACCUUGUCGUGAAGUAGAAGCUUCCACUUGGAUGGACGAGGUACUCUCCUUCACCUCCGUUGGAUGGACCUUGCCAAUAGACAAGUCUUGGAUUGCUUCCAAAGGAUCUUUGUCUCCUACAUCAAUUGGCAAUUGCUCUACUUGCGAGCCGUUAGAUUCAUCAAACUUCACAUCUACCGUCUCUUCAACCUUUCGGGUGAAACUGUUGUAGACACGGUAAGUGUGAGAGUUUGAGCCAUAACCUAGUAGGAAACCUUCAUGAGACUUAGGAGCAAAUUUAGAACGACGAUACUUAUCAAGAAUGUAGCACUUUGAGCCGAAUACCCGAAAGUAUCCAACUUGGGGUUUGUUACUGAUGAGUAGCUCGUAUGCCGUCUUGCCGAGUAGCUUGUGAAGAUACAAGCGAUUUGUUGCAUGACAAGCUGUCUCAACCGCUUCUGCCCAAAAGUGCUUCGGCGUCUUGUACUCAUCAAGCAUCGUUCUCGCCAUUUCGAUGAGCGUCCGGUUCUUCCUCUCAACAACUCCAUUUUGUUGAGGUGUGUACGUAGCCGAGAACUCGUGUGAAAUCCCUUCUUCGACAAGAAAGGUGUCCACAUUUGCGUUCUUGAACUCCGUUCCAUUGUCGCUGCAAACCUUCUUGAUCUUCACUUCAAAUUGGUUUUGGGCCAUCCUAGCGAAGUUUUUGAAGAUCUUUUGGACCUGCGAUUUAUCAUCGAGAAAGAACACCCACAUAAGUCUGGAAAAAUCAUCAACUAUAACUAGACCAAAAGAAUUUCCACGGAGACUCUUGUAAGAGUUGGGACCAAAGAGAUCCAUGUGAAGUAGCUCGAGUGGCCUCUUCGUGGUCAUGAUGUUCUUCACGGGAUGCCUUCCUCCAACCUGUUUACCUGCUUGACAAGCACUGCAAAGUCUAUCCUUAUCAAAUAUGACAUCAUUAACUCCAAGGAUAUGAUUCCCCUUAAUAAGCUUGUCAAGGUUUCUCAUACCAACAUGACCUAAUAGUCUAUGCCAUAACCAGCCUUUUGAGGAUUUAACAAUGAUGCAAGUUUUAGGUUGAGCCUUUUUAGUGAAAUCAACAAUGUAUAGAUCACCUCUACGCACACCAGUAAAGACCAUUUUAUGAUUAUCUCGACGAAACACUUGGCAAUCUACUUUAGUAAAUAGAACAUUGAAACCGAAAUCAGCAAGUCUAGAUACUGAAAGUAAGUUGUAACCAAGAGAUUCAACAAGCACAACAUUUUGUAUGGAGCUAUCAUGUGAUAUGGCCACCUUACCGAGGCCAACCACCUUACCCUUUGAGUUGUCACCGAAAGUGACAUACUUUCGAGGACUAUCAUUAUCAGCAAGCUCACGAAACAUGUCUUUACCUCCGGUCAUGUGAUAAUUACAUCCACUAUCAAGAACCCAUUCCUUUCCUCCUAACAUAUAUCCCUGAAGAUUUGCCAUAAGACCAAAAUGUCUCAUUGCAUCAUCAAGAUCGAAGUCACUAUCAUCAUCCUCAUCAUAGUAUCCAUGUUCAACAUCGUCAUGUGGUGGAUCAAAUCCUAGAGAGGGUGAUUCAUUAGAAUGAGUUUGACAAUAAUCUUGUCUAUGAAUUCUUAUAGCUUCGGAAAUAAUGUCACUAAUAAUACCAACAUUUCCUUUGGCACGCAUAAAGUUUGUAAGCUCAAAUAGACGAUUACCAAACAUAGGAUCACUAGUAUUCAUUUUACUCAAAGCAAUAGACGUAUGGAGAAUUUCAUAUAGAUUUUUCAAGGAAUAAUCUAGAAAUCGUUCCUCAAGAAAUUUCCAUAUGGUGUAGGCACACUUAAAAGUAGGCAAACAUCCAAUCAAGUUUCUAGGCAAUCCUCUAAUGAUAAGUUCUGCAGUUCAAAGAUUCCUAACCAUGUCAAUUGACUCAUCAUGGGUUGGAUGCAUAGGAUCAACAUAAGGUGCACAAGGGCUAGCAAUGUACUUGUUAAAAUGAUAUUGAUUGAAAAUAACAAGCAUCUCAUUUUUACACUCACGAAAAUACUCUCCAUCAAGAAUAGGCCCUCUAUGUCUAAGACUCCCCAAAGUAGACUCAUCCAUCUUCCUCCAAUGGUGAUUAAACCAAGGCAAUGGAGACCAAUGCUCUGAUACCACUUGUAGGACCUUGAGAAGAGGUGUCUAGAGGGGGGGUGAUUAGACACUAAGUACCAAAGUUGCAGUUUUUAAGUUUCUUUAAAGUUUGAGUGGAGUUUAGGCACAAGUUUAACAUUCACAACAUAUAGCAAGCAAGCAUGCAAAGAGUAUAUGAGCAGCGGAAAAUAAAGCAUGCAACUUGCAAGAAUGUAAAGGGAAGGGAUUGGAGGAUUCAAACGCAAUUGGAGACACGGAUGUUUUUGGAGUGGUUCCGAUAGGUGGUGCUAUCGUACCUCCACGUUGAUGGAGACUUCAACCCACGAAGGGUAACAGUUGCGUGAGUCCAUGGAGGGCUCCACCCACGAAGGGUCCACGAAGAAGCAACCUUGUCUAUCCCACCAUGGCCGUCGCCCACGAAGGACUUGCCUCACUAGCGGUAGAUCUUCACGAAGUAGGCGAUCUCCUUGCCCUUACAAACUCCUUGGUUCAACUCCACAAUCUUGUCGGAGGCUCCCAAGUGACACCUAGCCAAUCUAGGAGACACCACUCUCCAAGAAGUAACAAAUGGUGCAUUGAUGAUGAACUCCUUGCUCUUGUGCUUCAAAUGAUAGUCUCCCCAACACUCAAUUCUCUCUCAUAGGAUUUGGAUCUGGUGGAAAGAGGGUUUGAGUGGAAAGCAACUUGGGGAAGGUUAGAGAUCAAGAUUCAUAUGGUAGGAAUGGAAUAUCUUGGCCUCAACACAUGAGUAGGUAGUUCUCAGAAAUAGGAUGCUGUAAGUGUAGGUUCAGUCUGAUGGCUCUCUCCACGAAUGAAGAGGAGGUGGAGGGGGUAUAUAUAGCCUCCACACAAAAUCUAACCGUUACACACAAUCUACCAAACUUGGUGGGACUGAAUCGUUAAACUCGGUCAGACCAAUUUAGCAAAUAAUGUGACCGUUAGGGUUUUCGGUGGGACCGGAAUGCAACUCGGUGGGACCGAUUCGGUUAGGGUUAGGGCGUAACGUAAUCUCGGUAAGACCGAUUACACAAACUUGGUGGGACCGAUUUUGGUAAUAAGCUUUCCAGAGAGUUGGUCAGGCAAACUCGGUUUGACCGAUUAUCAAACUCGGUGGGACCGAUUUUGAUAAUAAGUUAACCAGAUAGUUUGCAUUGUAAUCUCGGUAGUACCGAUUGCUCAAACUCGGUGAGACCGAUUUUGAUAAUGGACAUACACAGAGAGAUUACAAUCCCAUUUCAGUGAGACCGAGAUCCCUAUCGGUGAGACCGAUUUGCCUAGGGUUUGUGGCAGUGGCUAAGACAUCCAAACUCGGUGGCGCCGGAUAGAAAGAAUCAGUGGGGCCGAGUUUGACUUUAGGUUUAGGACAUAUGUGUGGAAGUGGGAAAGUAGUUGAGGGUAUUUGGAGCAUAUCACUAAGCACUUUGAAGCAAGAGGCUCAUUAAGCAACACCUCAUUCCUCCUUGAUAGUAUUGGCUUUUCCUAUAGACUCAAUGUGAUCUUGGAUCACUAAAAUGUAAAAUGAAGAGUCUUGAGCUUGAAGCUUGAGCCAAUCCUUUGUCCUUAGCCUCUUGAAGGAGUUCCCACAUCCUUUAGUCCAUGCCACUCCAUUGUUGAACUUAUCUGAAACAUACUAGAUAAAAGUGUUAGUCCAACAAGAGAUAUGUUGUCAUUAAUUACCAAAACCAUUUAGGGAGGACUUGUGCUUUCAGCUGCUAUUUUUCUGCUAGUUGCUGCUGCCCGUAGUUGCCUUGCUGCUGCUAAUUACUGUAGCUAUGUCUAGCUUUACGAAUUUUACAUUGACUAACCCCCUCGACUGUCCCUAAACUAUGGUUAAACAAGUGUUAACAGGGCUAAAAAAAUUAUGGGAAGGUAGUACACUUGACAAUGCUCAAAUGUGUCCAUUGGACCAAAUCCAUUUGCUGCAUGUAUUAAUUCCUACAAAAAAAAUCACAAAUUGAUAUCUUCUGCUAACAGAGAACAGUUUUAACCUCUGCUUGUGUUGUGUGUAGUGUGUGUGUGUGGCCGGCUUGGCCACGGCCCACUUCCGUGCGUGGCCGGCCCUUGUGUUAAUUAGGACUAAUUUAGUUUAGGAGUAUUUUAUACUAGUUUAGUCUUUAGAGCAAAUGACAUGUGGCCCCAUUUGACCCUGUUUACCAGUCAAUAGUUGACUGGUCAACUGCUGACUGGACACCCUGGACCCCACCAGUCAGCCUCUGUAGCUAGCACAUGGCUGGGUACACUUGGUAUUUUCUGUUUAUUUUCGAAUUAAAAUAAAUGCCCAAAUCAUUUAAAACUUUGAUAAAAUCAUAGAAAAUAAACCGUAGCUCGGAUGAAAAAGUUUUCUACAUGAAAGUUGCUCAGAAUUUUGAGCCAAAUCUGGAUACGCCCUCUGUUCAUCUGUCACACGUCCCUAGCAUAGCAAACAUUGAACUUUUCCCUUUGGUUCAUUUGUUUGACAAACGACCGGAACCGGGAAAACUUUCCCGGAUGUCUCCCCCUUCGACAGUAUCGCCUAGGGAUGUCUAUGUUUGAGUGUAUUUACUGUUUCUUCCCCCUCUUCUCCCCGGUAGACCCUGAGACCGCUGCUCAUGCCACUGUGAUUGACUAUGUCGAUGCUGACUCUCCUUCUUGUCUGAGCAACCAGGCAAGCCCCCCCCUUUGAUCAUCCCGAUAUCGCCUAUUCCGUUCUCUCAUGCUUGCAUUAGAUUUUGCUACUAUAUUUGAUUGCUCCUAUUCUGAUGCAUAGCCUGCUUUUGUACCUGCUAUUGUUACCUACCUGCUUAUCCUAAACCGCUUAGUAUAGGUUGGUUAGUGAUCCAUCAGUGACCCCCACCUUGUCCUUGUUGCCCCUGCUUCAUCAUCUACGACUCGAUCAUCAUGAUCGACGACCAGAGCCCGACACCUCACGUCACAUCACACCCCUUUUGUUGCUCGACUCUGAAGAGCAACUAUCGAAUGCCGAGGCUGAUCCCUCAUAACGCACUCCUAAUGAUAAUUCUGUAGUGUAGCUAUUUGGUCGUGGUCAUCGAGGGUGAUUUCCUAUUUCACCAUUCCCGAUAUGGCUCUGUCGUUCAACACCUCAAGUGUGAACCUCGAGGGUGGUCCCUCUUACGUUCACCUUGAUGAUUACAUUGAGCGAAAUCCACUUGGGGUGAUUCCUCGGAUUUUCCCUUGAUGUUUGGACACACGGUUGCAAUGACUUUACUUGAGACCUUGGUGAAAGUCGGGCGGGCCCGGAGAGCACCCGCAAGAUAAUUACGUGGCACGGCUGGGCAUUCUAGGCCCUUGUCGUAAGUCCACGAGACGGGGCAACGGUGUCACUUUCGAUCGUGAGUCUCUGCUCGUCUCCGCAAGCUAACAAUACACUAUGGUUUAGGUAUUUGUUCUGAGUUGGCCUUUGGCCUUUACGCACCAACCACUAGGCGAGAAUAGUUAUGGGCCUCGGCGUCGUGGUAUCAGCCAAAGCUUUGUCAGACGUCCAGUUCAGCAUUGCGGCAUGGCCUGGUCGGCGCCCCAGUGGAGGUGGCCUGGAUCACCCUGCGCGCAUCGAUCUGGAGUGCAACGGGCGAUGGGCCCAGACCCCGAAGUGCUUAGGAUGUAGACCGGCGGGGACCUCUGUGCUGAGCCUAGGUAGGGUUGCGACGUGUUGAUCUUCCGAGGCCGGGCAUUGACCCAGAAAAGUGUGUCCGGCCAGAGUGAUCGAGCGUGUUGGAAAACGUGGUUCACCCCUGCAGGGAAGAUUAUCGAUUAAUAGCCGUGUCCACGGUAAUGGACGUUCAGACUUAUAUCCUGAUCUUAUACAACUACAAAUGGAUACUUGAGAUGUGUGGCUCCGGGAUUGCUUUCUCACAGGGAGUCGAGGAAGGAUCUCUGGGCAUUAAUGUUACAACAUGUUUGUUAAUUAUAAACUGCUAUUCUUUACUCUUCUACAGGCUGCAAGAUGCUUGGAGCUGCUUGAAGAUGCUAGUCUUUGAUAGGCUAGGCCUUCCCCUCUAUUCUGGCAUUCUGCAGUUCAGUCCAUAGAUUCAGCCCUUCCAUUUGAUACCAAUGCAUACUUAGUAUAGAUAUGAUGUUUGUGAGUACUUUGGAUGAGUACUCACGGUUGCUUUGCUCCCCCUUUCCCCAUUCUUUCUUCUUUCUAGUUGUUGCAAGCAGAUGGUGGAUCCCAGGAGCCAGAUGAUGCCAACCCCAUCGACUACUACUACUACAUGGAGGCCACCGAAAACCAGGAGUAGUUAGGAGGUCCCAGGCAGGAGGCCUUGCCUCUUCGAUCGUGUUGCUUUUGUGCCAGCCUUUUUAAGGCAUCCUUGUUUAACUUAUGUCUGUACUCAGAUAUUGUUGCUUCCGCUGACUCUUGUGUAUCGAGCUUUUGUAUUCGAGCCCUCGAGGCCCCUGGCUUGUAAUAUAAAGCUUGUAUCCCUUUUAUUUGUGUUUAGAGUUGUGUUGUGAUAUCUUCCCGUGAGUCCCUGAUCUUGAUCGUAC